RNAcentral lists this long non-coding RNA (463 nucleotides) under Gallus gallus (chicken). The record is from RNAcentral. Lineage: Eukaryota; Metazoa; Chordata; Aves; Galliformes; Phasianidae.
UUUCAUUGCCAAUCUGGGGUCUUACCUGAUUAUCAGUGCCUGUAAUUUGGGUCCUAAGUGGGAAGGCCCAUGUUGUCUGUAGCAUUUUCCAGGCACUGGGUCUGCCAUCUCAAGGUCUUUCAUUCAGGUCCCACAGGGUUUCAUAGAGUCUUUUUGCUCACCCCUGCAGGGACUGACAGCCUGUCUUCAGGGCAGUCUUAAGAAUACCACUAUAACAUUCAGUGAGGCCUGUCCCUGUUUGAUUACAUGGCUGGUGAAAUCACCAUUCAAUAUUGUUUUCUUCUGCCCAGCACUGUAUCACGGUGCCAGUAAAAUGAGUCCUUUGGUCACUCUCAAUGACUUGAGGUGUCCUGUAGGCAGACAUCAGUUUACUAAGUGCCUUGAUGGUAUAUGCCUGGCUCGCUCUUGGCACUGCAUAGGCCUGCAGUAGCCCACUUGUGGUAUUGACACGGGUCAGGACAUA